AUAGCAGUGGUAGAAACAGCACUCACUGUGUACCAGGCACUGUUCAGAGCAGAUUACAAACAUUACUUCAUUGACUUCUCCGCGUAACUGUAAGGUAGAUACUAUUACCUUCACCUCCGUUUCAAAGACGAGGGGACUAGGACACAAAGAAGUUUACUAACUCUCUCAGGGUCCAGAUCAUCUGUCUCCAGACCCCAAGCUCUGAAUCUGGGCUCGGGCGGCCUUUGUGAAUCCAUCAAGUAGAACGAGAUGCGGCUGGAGGUGACCCCAGAUCAUUCACUACGACAAACAACAGUUGCAUGUGUUAAGGAAAACCUCGCCCUCUUCCAGGCUCUCUGAAAUAGAGAAAGUUCUCCGCUUUAAUCAGAACUGACUGAUAUUAAUGUUUAUUCCUGUCACUUCUUGAUAUGACCUUUUACAUACCCAAGAUGAAACUAAAAUUGAUGUCAGGGAUAGCAUUCCAGGUAAAACAACUUCAGUGAUAAAACUUGUUACUUCAGCAAUGUUGCCCGAGGGGCAGACUUACAUUUUUCAUGAAAAAUGUUAGGCAGAAGGUCUUGAUGUCAUUUCAUGCACCAUUUAAUCAGAUUUCGCUCAAGAGACAGAAGGAUUUGGAAAGCUCUACUUUUCCUUUUAAAAAAUAUAGCUCACAUUUUUGGUAUAAAAGUAAAUUCAUGCUCACUACAGACAGUUUUGGAAAAACACAAAUUAUAGUUAAGAAAAUAAAAAUUAUACAUAAUUCUACCACCCCCAAAACAAUUACUUUGAUGUAUUUACUUCCAUUCUUUUUUUUUUCUUUAUUGAAUAUAUAUGUGUGUGUUUCAUGUGAAGUCUGAAUAUAUUUUACAUCUUACACAUUUUACUUAAUAUUAUGUUAUGGACGUUGUAUGUUGUAUGUAUGUUUUCCCAUGUCUCAAAAAGUCUGUGUAUAAUUGUGGUGUUUGUUCUGUCUGUUAUCCUAAGUUGCCUAUUUUUGUUUUGGUGCCAUCUUUGUCUUUUCAUAUAAGAAAUAUAUAUUGGCUUUUGUCUUCUACAAUGAUUUGUAUGGUUUUCACUUCUUGUUUGUACUGGCAUUGAAUAGGCAGGACUCUAUGCAAGUCAAGAUUAAAAUUGACUUUUUU
This 1121-nucleotide long non-coding RNA is filed under the name Bos taurus (domestic cattle). RNAcentral's name for it is "long non-coding RNA NONBTAT031100". Lineage: Eukaryota; Metazoa; Chordata; Mammalia; Artiodactyla; Bovidae. The record is from RNAcentral.